Small nuclear RNA from Salvia splendens (bonfire salvia), 99 nucleotides. Lineage: Eukaryota; Viridiplantae; Streptophyta; Magnoliopsida; Lamiales; Lamiaceae. The record is from RefSeq and is a predicted model, not a curated record.
GCAAAUCAGUAUGCAGAAUCUGUCCGACGAUACAGAGAAGAUUAGCAUGGACCAUGCGCAAGGAUGACACGCAUAAAUCAGGAUGCAGAAUCUCAAUUC